Long non-coding RNA from Mauremys reevesii (Reeves's turtle), 367 nucleotides. RefSeq lists it as uncharacterized. Lineage: Eukaryota; Metazoa; Chordata; Testudines; Geoemydidae. The transcript has 3 exons. The record is from RefSeq and is a predicted model, not a curated record.
AUUUAAAACCUCACAUGACAUUCUUUGGUGAAUCAGAAUGUAAAUAUCAGAAUCAGGAUGUUCUUGCAACCUCCUUGCCAGUUGAUAUUAAGGGGCUUUUGGGACACAGAUGUCUGUGAUACCCCACGAGAGACCUCCCUUGCAACUCAAUACACUGAUCUACUGAAAGAAUGAAAGCUGCAUAGAAUCCUCAGAAGGCCUAAGGUCUGGCACUCUUCAAACUUGGGCUAAAUGAAGUCUUUAUUCUGUGCUUCAAAUUCUUCCACACAAGAAGGAUUUAAAAAAAAAAUCUGUACAAACAUCAAAUGAGCAGCAUUGUCUUGUUCUAGUCCUUCCACAUUUCAGGAUGUUGAAUAAAAUUCACUGA